RNAcentral lists this ribosomal RNA (479 nucleotides) under uncultured bacterium. RNAcentral's name for it is "SSU rRNA". It matches the Rfam family "Bacterial small subunit ribosomal RNA", at positions 26 to 518 of the family's 1533-position model. The record is from RNAcentral.
AGGACGAACGCUGGCGGCGUGCUUAACACAUGCAAGUGGUGCGACGAACCAGGGCUUGCCCUGGGGCAAAGCCGCGAACGGGUGAGUAACACGUGAGUAACCUGCCCCGAUGACCGGGACAACCCGAGGAAACUCGGGCUAAUACCGGAUGUGGCGCACAGGCGUAAGCCCGUUCGCUAAAGGAAGCUUCGGCCUCCGCAUUGGGAGGGGCUCGCGGCCCAUUAGCUUGUUGGUGAGGUAACGGCUCACCAAGGCAACGAUGGGUAGCUGGUCUGAGAGGACGAUCAGCCACACUGGGACUGAGACACGGCCCAGACUCCUACGGGAGGCAGCAGUGGGGAAUCUUGCGCAAUGCGCGAAAGCGUGACGCAGCAACGCCGCGUGGGGGAAGAAGGCCUUCGGGUUGUAAACCCUUUCAGCAGGGACGAAUCUGACGGUACCUGCAGAAGAAGCCCGGCCAACUACGUGCCAGCAGCCGC